Gorilla gorilla gorilla (western lowland gorilla) is the source of this 107-nucleotide small nuclear RNA. The record is from Ensembl. NCBI's taxonomy places the organism in Eukaryota, Metazoa, Chordata, Mammalia, Primates, Hominidae.
GUGCUUGUUUUGGCAGCACAUAUAGUAAACUUGGAAUGAUACGGAGAAGAUUAGCAUGGCCCCUAGGCAAAGAUGACAUGCAAAUUCAUGAAGCAUUCCAUAAAAAA